GCACACACACACACACACACACACACACAGACAGUGUGUCUGUGUUUCUCUGCGUGUGUGUGUGUGUGUGA
Non-coding RNA from Podarcis lilfordi (Lilford's wall lizard), 71 nucleotides. The record is from the annotation of a GenBank genome assembly. NCBI's taxonomy places the organism in Eukaryota, Metazoa, Chordata, Lepidosauria, Squamata, Lacertidae.